Molecule: ribosomal RNA, 699 nt
Filed under: uncultured bacterium
Lineage: Bacteria
Description: bacterial SSU rRNA
Rfam family: Bacterial small subunit ribosomal RNA
Source: RNAcentral
CAGUGCCGUUGAUACUGUAGAGCUAGGAUUAGGUUGCUGUGGGCGGAAUGUGUGGUGUAGCGGUGAAAUGCUUAGAGAUCACACAGAAUAUCGAUUGCGAAGGCAGCUCACAAAGCCUAAAUUGACGCUGAGGCACGAAAGUGUGGGGAUCGAACGGGAUUAGAUACCCCGGUAGUCCUAGCUGUAAACGAUGGGCACUUGGUGUUGGGGGUAUUGAGUCCCCCGGUGCCGGAGUUAACACGUUAAGUGCCCCGCCUGGGGAGUACGGUCGCAAGACUGAAACUCAGAGGAAUUGACGGGGGCCCGCACAAGCGGUGGAGCAUGUGGUUCAAUUCGACGCAACGCGAAGAACCUUACCGGGGCUUGAACUGUAACUGCUACACUUGGAAACAGGUGGUUCUCUUCGGAGACGGUUAUAGAGGUGCUGCAUGGCUGUCGUCAGCUCGUGUCGUGAGAUGUUGGGUUAAGUCCCGCAACGAGCGCAACCCUUGCCCUUAGUUGCUACCAGGUUAAGCUGAGCACCCUAAGGGUACUGUCGGCGAAAAGCCGGAGGAAGGUGGGGAUGACGUCAAGUCCUCAUGGCCCUUACGUCCCGGGCUACACACGUGCUACAAUGGUCGGUACAAAGGGUCGCCAACCCGCGAGGGGGAGCUAAUCCCAAAAACCCGACCCCAGUUCGGAUUGCAGUCUGCAACUCGA